This 1053-nucleotide long non-coding RNA is filed under the name Homo sapiens (human). RNAcentral's name for it is "HSALNT0250471". The record is from RNAcentral. Lineage: Eukaryota; Metazoa; Chordata; Mammalia; Primates; Hominidae.
CUCAAAAGGUCCUGAGAGACCAUCAUAACCACCCUCUUUAUUUUACAGAUACAGCUUCUGAGGAUCACGGGGAUGAAAGGCAUGAACUGGGCUCACACAGCUACUCCUUCCCAUUUAUGAGAGAGCCACAUGACAUCAGCCCAUAGACUGUGGAGAGUAUUCCAGAUCUAUCACAUUCUGCGAUUCUGCGAUUCCCAGAAGGCUGGUCAUGAAAAAAUUCCCUCUUCAGUUUACAUAUAUGGCAGUGGCACUUCUAGAUAUCUGUUGAGGCCUGGAAGGGGCAAAACAAUUCAGGAAGCAGUUGAAGAUAAAGGGGUUUACCAUGGAAGAGAAGAUCCAGGUGCCUUCAUGGAAAUGCUUGUGGUUGAAAAGAGAUGAAGAUGAGGGUCCCUGGAAAGAGGAAGAACCAGCCAGGAAAAUUAUACCAUUAGCAAGACUGGCAUCAGCAAGUAGUUCGCAGUGUUGGUUGUUCUUGGUUUCGCAGGAUUUUAUAGGAGAGUUUCUGUCAGGCCUUUGAGCCCAAGCUAAGCCAUCAUACCCCUGUGACCUACACGUUAUACAUCCAGAUGGCCUGAAGCAAUUGAAGAUCCACAAAAUAAGUGAAAAUAGCCUUAACGGAUGACAUUCCACCAUUGUGAUUUGUUUCCACCCCACCCUAACUGAUACAUAUAUUCUCCCCCACCCUUAAGAAGGUACUUCGGAAUGUUCUCUCCCGCUCUUAAGAAUGUGCUUUGUAUGCCUAUCCCAAACCUGUAAGAACUAAUGAUAAUCCCACCACCCUUUGCUGACUCUUUUUUUUGGACUCAGCCCAUCUGCACUCAGGUGAAAUAAACAGCCUUGUUACUCACACAAAGCCUGUUUGGUGGUCUCUUCACAUGGAUGUGCGUGACAUUUGGUGCCGUGACUAGGAUUGGGGGCCCUCCCUUGGGAGAUCAAUCCCCUGUCCUCCUGCUCUUUGCUCCAUGAGAAAGAUCCACCUACGACUUUGGGUCCUUAGACCAACCAGCCCAAGGAACAUCUCACCAAUUUUAAAUCGGGUAAGCAGCCUCUUUU